RNAcentral lists this long non-coding RNA (2924 nucleotides) under Nannospalax galili (Upper Galilee mountains blind mole rat). RNAcentral's name for it is "lncRNA (ENSNGAG00000024622.1)". Lineage: Eukaryota; Metazoa; Chordata; Mammalia; Rodentia; Spalacidae. The record is from RNAcentral.
UGCAGUCCCACCAAGAUGGGACCUGGGAUACUAAGCCUGGCUGCCCCUUCUUCCUGUAGGAGACCAGCUGAUCAGUGCAACCAUAUUCUUUGACCACAUGAAAUAUGAAGAUGCUCUCAAAAUCCUUCAGUACUCAGAGCCAUACAAAGUUCAGUUCGAAAUCAAACGGAAGCUCCCUGCCAGCGAGGAAGAAUGGGCCAUCCAUCAUCCUCAGCAAGGCCCAAAGGGCCAGGAGAAGCAGGACAAGGAUGAUGCUGAUGGGUGCAUGGAGACCCCCACAAAGACUCUAGAGGCAGAUGGAGACCAAGAGAGGCUUAUUUCUCAGCCCAUGGAGAGUCGUGGGAGAAGGCCCCAGGAAAGACUCUCUUGGCCAAAAUUUCAGUCCAUAAGGAGCAAGCAGGGACUGGGCCCCCGACGAUCACACAGUUCCUCAGAGGCCUCAGAGCACAGGCAUGGGCCUUAUAUGUCCCCCACAAGCACAGACACAGAGGCCCAGCUGCCACCUGAGAGUCAGAAGCAGAAGAAGGAAGGGUCAGGCAGCCGAAGAAGAAAGUUUCUGAACUUGAGAUUUGGGAUGGCCUCAGGGCAGGGCCAGAUUGCAACUAGACUAACAGGCACAGAGUCUCAGGGAAAACCAGGUCCUGCAGAGGUGCUCGAGGACUCACAGCCCAGAGAGGUUAAGUCAGAGAGCACAGAGGUGGCAAUCAGGACCAGGAGAAAGGAUACGCCACAGACUCCAGGACUCAUGACCAUGCAGGUGACCACACAGGACUCCAGCCACACAAACCUUGGUAAAGGAACCCCUGGAGAAGUGACAGUCAGGACAGACAGGCGCCAAAGGAAGACAAAGGAAUUGAAGAAGCAGGAGACUGAGAAGGUGGUCAGCCAGUCCAGAGCAGAGGCAGACGCAGGAGCAACCUGGGAGGACGAAUGGGAGGAAGUCCACUGUCUGGAAAUUGGGAUUGCAAAAUUGUCUCUGAGAGACAAACCGGAGCAGGACAGCACACAGGUCUCAGUAAACGUCUUGAAGACAACAGACAUUGGAUUUGAUGAGGAAAAGAUGACACACAUUCGAACAGAGGCCAAAGACGAUGGAAAAAAGAAAAAGGAACAGGGAUAUACAAUUGAAGAGGAAGGGACAGAAACGCAGGAACAAGGACAAUCAUGCCACUCAGCAAAAGAACAAACACCACCUGACAAAAAAGAGAGGAAAGGGAGACGGGAGGAGGGAAAGAAAAUGGAAGACGAAGAAGAGGAGAAAGAGAGAGGACAGGCCAGGGUAAAGAUACCCAGAUUCAAAAUGCCAAACUUUGGAUGGUCCCCAACUAAAGAAGUCAAAACACGAGGAAAAAAUGAAACAAAAGGAAUAGAAAAAGGAACAGAAGAUGGAGAAAAAGAAAACGCAGAAAAAAUAGCAAUACAGGUGGAUGGAAAGAAACUGGAGGAGAGAGGGGAAGAAUCAUCAGACAGAGGAGGGAACAGGACAGAGCCCAGAGACAUAGUAAACACAGACCAGAACAUAACUGAAGGUCAUGUUGAACUGGACAACAAGGACAGCAAAUUCAGCUUCUCAGCACCUGGAAAGACCAUCAAGGACUCACUGGAGGUGGUGGCAGCAAAGCCACAAACAGACACGGCCCUGCCCUGCAUCCAGGGUGACCUGAAGACCGCUGAUGUCAACAUUCAUCUGCCCUCCACUGACCUGGAGGGAAAGACCCGCCAGGUGGAUAUCAAGCUGCCGGUGGGCCAGCUGCCCGAGGGAGAGGUGGCCGCAAACGCAACCGUGGAAGCUGGCCUGAAGGAUAACCUACCCAAGGUGCAGAUGGCCAGCCUAAAGAUGCCCAAAGUGGACCUCAAGGGACCCCAAGUGGACCUGAAGGGCCCCAAAGCCGAGGUGACCGCACCUGAGGUGGAGAUGUCUCUGACUGGAGUGGAGGUGGAUUUCAAGGCCCCCGGUGCCAAGCUGGAGGCGGACCUGGCCCUGGCCGACAGGGACACUGUGGCCACCAAAGAGAGCAAGUUCAAGAUGCCCAAGUUCAAGAUGCCCUCCUUUGGCAUGUCGGCGCCUGGGAAGACAAUCGAAGCCUCGCUGGAGGUCUUGGUACCGAAGCCGGGGGCAGACGUGGCUCUGCCCUCCAUCCAGGGUGACCUGAAGACCCCUGACGUCAGCAUUCAGCUGCCCUCCUCCGACCUGGAGGUGGGUGUCAAGCUGCCCGAGGGAGAGCUGCCCGCACCCGCGGCCAUGGAAGCCGGCCUGAAGGAUCACCUACCCAAGGUGCAGAUGCCCAGCCUAAAGAUGCCCAAAGGGGACCUCAGGGGUCUCCAAGUGGACCUGAAGGGUCCCAAAGCCGAGAUGACCACGCCUGAGGUGGAGAUGUCUCUUCCCGGAGUGGAGGUGGACAUCCAGGAACCUGGUGCCAAGCUGGAGGGGGACCUGGCCCUGGCCGACAGGGACACCGUGGCCACCAAAGACAGCAAGUUCAAGAUACCCAAGUUCAAGAUGCCAUCAUUCAGCAUGCUGGGGCCCGGGAAGGCCACCGAGGCCUCACUGGAGGUGAUGGCGCCAAAGGCGGAGUCCGACGUGGACGUUCCCUCCAUCCAGAGCGACCUGAAGACCCCUGACAUCAGCAUUCAGCUGACCUCCGCCGACCUGGAGGGCAAGGCCAGCCUGGUGGACGACAAACUGCCUGAGGGCCAGCUGCCCGAAGGUGAGCUACCAGCUCCCGCUGCCGUGGGAUGUGGCCUGAAGGGGCACCUGCCCAAGGUGCAGAUGCCCAGGGUCAGGAUGCCCAAAGUGGACUUCAAGGGCCCCCAGGUGGACCUGAAGGGUGCCAAGGUGGACUUGAAAGACCCCAAGGCCGAGGUGACCACGACAGAGAUCGAGAUGCCCCUGCCCGGCGUGGAGGUGGACAUCCAGGCCCCUG